Molecule: non-coding RNA, 23 nt
Filed under: Arabidopsis thaliana (thale cress)
Lineage: Eukaryota; Viridiplantae; Streptophyta; Magnoliopsida; Brassicales; Brassicaceae
Source: RNAcentral
CGCUCUUGCGAAUAAGUCUGCCU